Molecule: signal recognition particle RNA, 99 nt
Filed under: Blastocatellia bacterium
Lineage: Bacteria; Pseudomonadati; Acidobacteriota; Blastocatellia
Description: signal recognition particle sRNA small type
Rfam family: Bacterial small signal recognition particle RNA
About the family: The signal recognition particle (SRP) is a universally conserved ribonucleoprotein involved in the co-translational targeting of proteins to membranes. Archaeal SRP consists of a 7S RNA and homologues of the eukaryotic SRP19 and SRP54 proteins.
Source: RNAcentral
CUUCGGGCUCCGCACAACGUAGUGCCGGUGAACCCCGCCAGACCGGGAACGGAGCAACGGUAGCCAGGUGCGCGUGUGUUGCGGGUAAGUCCGGAGUCU